GACGAACGCUGGCGGCGUGCUUAACACAUGCAAGUCGAACGGAAAGGCCCUGCUUGCAGGGUACUCGAGUGGCGAACGGGGGAGUAACACGUGGGUGAUCUGCCCUGCACUUCGGGAGAAGCCUGGGAAACUGGGGCGAAUACCGGAGAGGAGCCAUUUUUAGGGUGAUGGGUGGAAAGUUUUUUCGGUGUAGGAUGAGCUCGCGGCCUAUCAGCUUGUUGGUGGGGUAAUGGCCUACCAAGGCGGCGACGGGUAGCCGGCCUGAGAGGGUGGACGGCCACCUUGGGACUGAGAUACGGCCCAGACUCCUACGGGGGGCAGCCGUGGGGAAUCUUGCCCCAUGGGCGCGAGCCUGAUGCAGCGACGCCGCGUGGGGGAUGACGGCCUUCGGGUUGUAAACUCCUUUCGCUAGGGACGAAGCUUUUUGUGACGGUACCUAGAUAAGAAGCACCGGCUAACUACGUG
RNAcentral lists this ribosomal RNA (465 nucleotides) under uncultured bacterium. RNAcentral's name for it is "partial 16S ribosomal RNA". It matches the Rfam family "Bacterial small subunit ribosomal RNA", at positions 28 to 507 of the family's 1533-position model. The record is from RNAcentral.